CCGGAGCUUGCCGCAGCUUGCCGGAGUUGCCGACAAAGAACCUUAAUUGCUGCCCUAAUUUCCAGCAGCCACACAAAACCCUUAGAAGAUCCGAGCUCGAGUGGAGCACGGUGACCUGCCGAUACUCGGAGAUUUUUGCUGUAUAUAAGUUUUGCAGACACAGGGAUCCUUUUGCUAUUACUGUUGAUUUUGGACUUUCAUAGAGUUGCUCAGAGAUCUCGACGUGCUGAUUUUCUGGUUUGUUUUACUUUUGUUUCACUGUAUUUACAUUUUGCACUUUUGUUACAGAUGUCGUUUAUCUGUAUAGUAAUUGUAGU
Molecule: long non-coding RNA, 317 nt
Organism: Zingiber officinale
Lineage: Eukaryota; Viridiplantae; Streptophyta; Magnoliopsida; Zingiberales; Zingiberaceae
Exons: 3
Source: RefSeq, a predicted model, not a curated record